Molecule: long non-coding RNA, 792 nt
Organism: Cebus imitator (Panamanian white-faced capuchin)
Lineage: Eukaryota; Metazoa; Chordata; Mammalia; Primates; Cebidae
Source: Ensembl
AUGGUCUUGAGGGAGGGGAGACACGUAAAGAAGCCUCACUGGAGGUUGGUGUUGGUCGUUUCAGGUGCCCUCAAGUGGAAGGAAGACCUUUCCAGAAAGGCAGCUGAGGCCUUUCUGAGGCAGCAGGAAGCAGCUCCAAACCUCCGAAAGCUUAUUUAUGGGACAGUGACAGAAGAUAACGAAGAAGAUGAUGAUGAUACCCGAGAAGAACUUGGAGGGCUAUUUCACGUCAACCAGCCUGACAGAGAGCGUAAACACAAGCCUGCCUCUUUGGACUGCUCCAGAUUUCUUGUGGAGGCGCCCCUUGACUGGGAUUUAGAGGAGAUAUGGCUUUGGAGUCCGACCCUUCUAACCAUCCAGAAGCAAGGAAAUCUCAAACAGAUGUGCACGAAAAAAGACAAAGCAGCUAUGCAAACCAUUGUGGCCUUGGAGAUAUAUUAUCAUAUCAAGCAAAGAGAUGCCGAUAGAACUUUGGGCAUCUUUGAUGAACGGUUACACCCAUUUACACAAGAAUGGCUUCUGGAGGAAUACUUUAAGUAUGAUCCUGGACACAAAUUGAUUUUCACAUUUCUUCGUACUCUAUUUAAAGCCAAAAGGCUAACAGCUGACUUGGCAAUCAGAAGUUUGGUAUACAUCGAAAGACAUAAGUUAUGCCGAUAUCAACAUUUGUCCAACCAACUGGAAAAGGAUUGUCUUCGGAGCCACUCUUCUUGCCGUCAGGGUUGGGCACAAUGUGGCUGUGUGCCAUGAGCACUACUGCAAGCUCUUUGAGAACAUUACAGUUGAUGAUAU